Molecule: ribosomal RNA, 1198 nt
Filed under: Dicranocentrus wangi
Lineage: Eukaryota; Metazoa; Arthropoda; Collembola; Entomobryomorpha; Entomobryidae
Description: 16S ribosomal RNA
Source: RNAcentral
UAUAGAUUAUGAAGUGAUUAAUGCUUUUAUUUAUUAAGUAAUUUAAUGAAAUUUUUUAAUAUAUUUCACUGGAGGGGGGCCAGUGAAAUAAAUUAAAAAUUAAUUAAGUGUAAUAUAUAAAAGUACUUUUUGUAUCAUGGAUUUUUUAAUUUUUUUAAUAUAAACGUUUCUCGAAGAUAAAAGAUUUAUAUUUAUUGUUAUAAAAUGUUGAAUAAUUUUAUUAAAUUAAUUAUAGAACUGAAAGGGUUUACGGUUUUAUAAAUAUCUAGUUGCUUAAAAUUUAUAAAAUUACAUUAUUUAAUUAUUAUUAAAAUUAUUAAUUUAUGGAAUUUUAAAAUUCAGCGGGGUUAGCUGUUGAGUUAUCUUUUUACAAGUGAGGAUGAGGGGGAAUUUUUUUAGUUGAGCUUAGAAACAGCUUUAGUAAGUUAUAUUUUAAAUUUUUAAUUUAGUUUAUUUAUUUUGCUUUAACAUAAGAGGCUUAAUUUCAGAAUUAAAAUACGUUUUAUAAUAAUGAAUUUAUUAAUAGGAUGCGUUGAGAUAUAUUAAUUUUGUGGGGUUGAAAAAUAAAAUUCAACAAUAAAACAUCAGGCUGUUUAACAAAAACAUUUCUUUUAAGAUUUUUUAAAAAGUAUAGCCUGCCCACUGAUUAAAUUUAAAGGGCCGCGGUAUUUUGACCGUGCUAAGGUAGCAUAAUCAUUAGUCUCUUAAUUAGGGAAUAGUAUGAAUGGUUAAACUGUUGAUUGUUUUUAAUUUUUAAUUUUCUGAAAUUAAAUUUAAAGUGAAAAUGCUUUAUUGUUCUAUUUAGACGAUAAGACCCUAUAGAGUUUAACGACUACUAUUUACUUGGAUCUUGGGGGGGAGCUGAGUAUUUAGUAGUCGUUUAGUUGGGGCAACUUUUGAAUAAUAUUAACUUCUAGACAAUUAUAUUUUUUUAUAAAAAUCUUAAAUUUUAACAGUUAAAAAGUUACCUUAGGGAUAACAGCGUAAUUGUUUUUGAGAGUUCUAAUCGACAAAAUUGUUUGCGACCUCGAUGUUGAAYUAAGAUAUCUAGCUGGGGCAGUUCCUGGAAAAGAAAGUCUGUUCGACUAUUAAAUUCUUACAUGAUUUGAGUUCAAACCGGCGUAAGCCAGGUUGGUUUCUAUCUUUUAGUACUUUUUUUCUUUCUAGUACGAAAGGGCCGUUGUGAAGUUGGUUGUGC